This 1726-nucleotide long non-coding RNA is filed under the name Canis lupus familiaris (dog). RNAcentral describes it as "lncRNA (ENSCAFG00000053154.1)". Lineage: Eukaryota; Metazoa; Chordata; Mammalia; Carnivora; Canidae. The record is from RNAcentral.
AUGUUCUCUUCUUCCAGAAGCUUUCUUUCUCCCCAGCAAGUACUUCUUCCUAGAAUACAUGCAGUACAGAGAUCAGCUGAGAGGUGGAACCCGAGAUGGAGCCAUCCCUUUGACCACAGCCUGAUUCACCGAGUCACCAAGCCACUCCAGGGUAACCUGAGUGGGUCCAGCCUGUGGGUGUCUGAAAGGUAGGGGAUUCACAAUGGGACACUUAGGUCCUCAUGUGUAAGAGCGUGUGAGUAUAAGAUGUGCAUUGAAUUAACUAGCAAACACCAAACUCUAAGAUGAGAGGUUGAAAGGCUAAUAUAAAUUAGGAGCACUCCCACUAGCUAACAGGUAAUUAACUUAAAGGCUUUGAGUUAUUUGGGGGGAGCAGAGGAGAUACAGGAAGUGAAGAGUACCCAGUCCCUACUCACUCUGCCCUGCAAGCUUAUGGACCAGGUCAGAAAGAAAUUCUCCCAAGAGGGGAGGGAGGCUUACAGCUUCUACCUGAACCUCUCAGGGUCUCCAUUUUCUUCAUCUUUCUCCAUCUCUUCCAUACAUCCAAACGACAAUGUCUUUUCCUUGAGAUAUAACUGACAAAUAAUAUUGUGUAAGUGUAAGGUGUAUAAAGUGAUGAUUUGACACAUGUAUAUAUUGCAAAAUGAUUACUGCAAAAAGGCUUAGUUAACAACAUACAUCACCUUACAUAGUACUUUUUAUUUUUCCUCUUUCAGAAAAAAAAAAAAUAGUUAAUAUCAUCCAUGCAUAUUGAGAAUACAAAUGAAUUCCAGAGGAUGGGGGUUAUUUACAGCCCACAUGCAAGCUCUGGCCUCAUUUUAUACCUUUAAGCAUCUCUAUCUCCUAGAAAGGCUCUCAGUUUUGCUUUCAGGAUGCCACAUGCUUUGAUCUAACUCCUUCUCCCUGGCUAUGUCUUCUCUUUUGGGAAUCCUUUUCUAUGCCUGUGUCUACAUAUUGAUGUUCCUUUCUUGGGUCCCACUUCCCUUUCACUCCACAUAUUUCUCUCUGCUAACCACAUUUAUUGUCACAGCUUCAGUUACCAUGGGUAGGCUGAGGGUUGGCUAAUCCACAGCUUUAGUCUAGACUCCCAUGUCUGCCCUAGAGCCCCAUAUUUUCCUGCUCAUUGGACAUCUAUCUCUUCUUGGAUGUCUUCUGGAUACCUUAACAUCAGUCCUAACUCACAGCCCUACCCCACAUCCUAACUCUUUACCUACAUUCCCCAUCUCUGCAAAUGGCACCAUCACCCUCUAGUUGCCCAACACCUUGACCUCUACUCCUCACUUUACAAACCAGUGAACUACAAAGUCAAGAGUCAAAUCCUGACCUCAUGAUUCAGGUCAAUAUGAUUCCCUCUGGGAUAUCCUAUGUAAUGGGACUCCCCACCUAGAAUUUUGCUCUCCUCCUCUCCACACAGACAGAGGGAGAAGCAGGCUCCAUGCAGAGAGCCUGACGUGGGACUCAUCCAGGGUCUCCAGGAUCACGCCCUGGGCUGCAGGCGGCGCUAAACCACUGCACCACCGGGGCUGCCCUCCAAUCUCUUUCUUAUCAUAGGACUCACAGAAAAUGACAACUUUUGUACAACACACUGGGAUAACCAUUUGAGAAUUCUGAAAGAAGCCACUAGGUUUUGCCUGUUAUCCCAGAGGCUAAGGGGUUCAUAAUCUGGGCUCUCUUCAAAGCCAUUCACACCACCCUGGGAGCCUCUGGACUAAUUCCUUCACCCUGC